UGGCUCAGAUUGAACGCUGGCGGCCGCCUAACGCAUGAAGUCGAGCGGAAACGAUGGGAGCUUGCUCCCAGGCAUCUAGCGGCGGACGGGUGAGUAAUGCAUGGGAAUCUGCCCGGUAGUGGGGGAUAACGUGUGGAAACCCACGCUAAUACCGCAUACGUCCUACGGGAGAAAGGAGGGGAUCUUCGGACCUUUCCCUAUCGGAUGAGCCCAUGUCGGAUUAGCUGGUUGGUGGGGUAAAGGCCUACCAAGGCGACCAUCCGUAGCUGGUCUGAGAGGAUGAUCAGCCACACUGGGACUGAAACACGGCCCAUACUCCUACGGGAGGCAGCCGUGGGGAAUAUUGGACAAUGGGGGCAACCCUGAUCCACCCUUGCCGCGUGUGUGAAGAAGGCUUUCGGGUUGUAAAGCACUUUCCUCCAGGAUGAAGGCGUUGUAGUUAAUACCUACGACGAAGGACGUUACUCGCAUAAGAAGCACCGGCUAACUCCGUGCCAACAGCCGCGGUAAUGCGGAAGGUGCAAGCGUUAAUCUGAAUUACUGGGCGUAAAGGGCGCGUAAGCGGCCUGUAAAGCCAGAUGUGAGAGCCCCGUGCUUAACCUGGGAACUGCAUUUGCAACUGGCACGCUUGAGUGCAGGAGAGGAAGGUAGAACUCCCCGGUGUAGCGGUGAAAUGCGUAUAGAUCGGGAAGAAUACCAGUGGCGAAGGCGGCUUCUGGACUGACACUGACGUUGAGGCGCGAUAGCGUGGGUAGCAAACAGGAUUAGAUACCCUGGUAGUCCACGCUGUUAACGAUGUCGACUAGCCGUUGGAUUCCUAGAGAAUUUAGUGGCGCAGCUAACGCACUAAGUCGACCGCCUGGGGAGUACGGCCGCAAGGCUAAAACUCAAAUGAAUUGACGGGGGCCCGCACAAGCGGUGGAGCAUGUGGUUUAAUUCGAUGCAACGCGAAGAACCUUACCUACCCUUGACAUCCAGAGGAUUUUCCAGAGAUGGAUUAGUGCCUUCGGGAACUCUGAGACAGGUGCUGCAUGGCGGUCGUCAGCUCGUGUUGUGAAAUGUUGGGUUAAGUCCCGUAACGAGCGCAACCCCUAUCCUUAUUUGCCAGCGAUUCGGUCGGGAACUCUAAGGAGACUGCCGGUGACAAACCGGAGGAAGGUGGGGAUGACGUCAAGUCAUCAUGGCCCUUACGGGUAGGGCUACACACGUGCUACAAUGGGGAGUACAGAGGGACGCAAAGCGGCGACGUGAAGCCAAUCCCAAAAAGCUCUCCUCAGUCCGGAUUGGAGUCUGCAACUCGACUCCAUGAAGUCGGAAUCGCUAGUAAUCGCGAAUCAGAAUGUCGCGGUGAAUACGUUCCCGGCCCUUGUACACAC
RNAcentral lists this ribosomal RNA (1376 nucleotides) under uncultured bacterium. Its description in RNAcentral is "bacterial SSU rRNA". It matches the Rfam family "Bacterial small subunit ribosomal RNA", at positions 20 to 1390 of the family's 1533-position model. The record is from RNAcentral.